GAUGAACGCUGGCGGCGUGCCUAACACAUGCAAGUCGAACGAACACACAAUAAGCUUUCUCCUCUAAGGUUAGCGGCGGACGGGUGGGUGACGCGUGCAUAACCUGCCUCUAAGACGUGGAGAACAUCGGGAAAACAGAUCUAAUACCGCCGCAUAUAUUCAACCGCAUAAAUCAAGAGAUCUACACGGUUUGGCUGUUACUUUGAGACGGUUUCGGGUCGGAUUAGCUAGGUGGUAAGGUAACGGCUUAGCAAGGCAACGAUGCGUAGCUGACCUGAGAGGAUGAUCGGCCACACUGGAACUGAGACACGGUCCAGACUCCUACGGGAGGCAGCAGUAGGGAAUCUUACGCAAUGGGCGAAAGCCUGAUGGAGCAAAGCCGCGUGAGUGAUGAAGGUCUUCGGAUCGUAAAGCUCUGUUGUUAGGGAAGAACAAAAGCGGAAGUAACUAUGAACGUAUUGACGGUACCUAACGAAAAAGCACCGGCUAACUACGUG
This 497-nucleotide ribosomal RNA is filed under the name uncultured bacterium. RNAcentral's name for it is "partial 16S ribosomal RNA". It matches the Rfam family "Bacterial small subunit ribosomal RNA", at positions 28 to 507 of the family's 1533-position model. The record is from RNAcentral.